This 200-nucleotide ribosomal RNA is filed under the name uncultured bacterium. RNAcentral describes it as "partial 16S ribosomal RNA". It matches the Rfam family "Bacterial small subunit ribosomal RNA", at positions 8 to 224 of the family's 1533-position model. The record is from RNAcentral.
AGAGUUUGAUCCUGGCUCAGAAUCAACGCUGGCGGCGCGCUUAACACAUGCAAGUCGAGCGAGAAAGUGGAGCAAUCCAUGAGUAAAGCGGCGUACGGGUGAGUAACACGUGGAUCAUCUACCUUUUAGUGGGGGAUAACCCUGGGAAACCGGGGCUAAUACCGCAUAAGCUUAUCGGGAAAGCAGCAAUGCGCUGAAAG